This 2060-nucleotide ribosomal RNA is filed under the name human metagenome. RNAcentral's name for it is "bacterial LSU rRNA". It matches the Rfam family "Bacterial large subunit ribosomal RNA", at positions 14 to 2098 of the family's 2925-position model. The record is from RNAcentral.
AGGGCGCACGGUGGAUGCCUUGGCACUAGGAGCCGAAGAAGGACGUGACAAACGACGAUAUGCCUUGGGUAGCUGUAAGUAAGCGAUGAUCCAGGGAUUUCCGAAUGGGGGAACCCAACAGGUACUACCUGUUACCCGCAUCUGUUAAGGAUGUGAGGAGGAAGACGCAGUGAACUGAAACAUCUAAGUAGCUGCAGGAAGAGAAAGCAAAAGCGAUUGCCUUAGUAGCGGCGAGCGAAACGGCAGGAGGGCAAACCGAAGAGUUUACUCUUCGGGGUUGUAGGACUGCAAUGUGGACUCAAAGAUUAUAGAAGAAUGAUUUGGGAAGAUCAGCCAAAGAGAGUAAUAGCCUCGUAUUUAAAAUAGUCUUUGUACCUAGCAGUAUCCUGAGUACGGCGGGACACGUGAAAUCCCGUCGGAAUCUGGGAGGACCAUCUCCCAACCCUAAAUACUCCCUAGUGACCGAUAGUGAACCAGUACCGUGAGGGAAAGGUGAAAAGCACCCCGGGAGGGGAGUGAAAGAGAACCUGAAACCGUGUGCCUACAACAAGUUCGAGCCCGUUAAUGGGUGAGAGCGUGCCUUUUGUAGAAUGAACCGGCGAGUUACGAUAUGAUGCGAGGUUAAGUUGAAGAGACGGAGCCGCAGGGAAACCGAGUCUGAAUAGGGCGAAUUAGUAUCAUGUCGUAGACCCGAAACCAUGUGACCUACCCAUGAGCAGGUUGAAGGUGCGGUAAGACGCACUGGAGGACCGAACCAGGGCACGUUGAAAAGUGCUUGGAUGACUUGUGGGUAGCGGAGAAAUUCCAAACGAACUUGGAGAUAGCUGGUUCUCUCCGAAAUAGCUUUAGGGCUAGCGUCGACAUAAAGAUUCUUGGAGGUAGAGCACUGUUUGGGUGAGGGGUCCAUCCCGGAUUACCAAUCUCAGAUAAACUCCGAAUGCCAAUGAAUUAUGGUCGGCAGUCAGACUGCGAGUGCUAAGAUCCGUAGUCGAAAGGGAAACAGCCCAGACCACCAGCUAAGGUCCCAAAAUAAUUGUUAAGUGGAAAAGGAUGUGGGGUUGCACAGACAACUAGGAUGUUAGCUUAGAAGCAGCUAUUCAUUCAAAGAGUGCGUAAUAGCUCACUAGUCGAGUGACCCUGCGCCGAAAAUGUACCGGGGCUAAAACAAUUUACCGAAGCUGUGGAUACCUUUAUAGGUAUGGUAGGAGAGCGUUCUAUGUGUGAUGAAGGUGUACCGUGAGGAGUGCUGGAACGCAUAGAAGUGAGAAUGCCGGUAUGAGUAGCGAAAGACAGGUGAGAAUCCUGUCCACCGUAAGACUAAGGUUUCCAGGGGAAGGCUCGUCCGCCCUGGGUUAGUCGGGACCUAAGGAGAGACCGAAAGGUGUAUCCGAUGGACAACAGGUUGAUAUUCCUGUACUAGAGUAUGUAGUGAUGGAGGGACGCAGUAGGCUAACUAAAGCAGACGAAUGGAAGAGUCUGUCUAAGCAGUGAGGUGUGAAUUGAGUCAAAUGCUUAGUUCUAUAACAUUGAGCUGUGAUGGGGAGCGAAGUUUAGUAGCGAAGUUAGUGACGUCACACUGCCAAGAAAAGCUUCUAGCGUUUAAACAUACUCUACCCGUACCGCAAACCGACACAGGUAGUCGAGGCGAGUAGCCUCAGGUGAGCGAGAGAACUCUCGUUAAGGAACUCGGCAAAAUGACCCCGUAACUUCGGGAGAAGGGGUGCUGACUUUACGUCAGCCGCAGUGAAUAGGCCCAAGCAACUGUUUAUCAAAAACACAGCUCUCUGCUAAAUCGUAAGAUGAUGUAUAGGGGGUGACGCCUGCCCGGUGCUGGAAGGUUAAGAGGAGUGCUUAGCGUAAGCGAAGGUAUGAAUUGAAGCCCCAGUAAACGGCGGCCGUAACUAUAACGGUCCUAAGGUAGCGAAAUUCCUUGUCGGGUAAGUUCCGACCCGCACGAAAGGCGUAAUGAUUUGGGCACUGUCUCAACGAGAGACUCGGUGAAAUUUUAGUACCUGUGAAGAUGCAGGUUACCCGCGACAGGACGGAAAGACCCCAUGGAG